GUCAACCCCUACCAAGGAGGCACUGAGUUUUCCCAAGCACACAUAUUACUUCCCUUUUUUAGACAAAGACAGAAUGGCAGUUUCCUUCUACCCAUUUCUGAUCUUUUCAUCCUCUUUGUUCUUACUCCAAAAUGGAUGUUUAUUCUGAAUUAGAUGCCUAUUACUGAACCCUAGAGGUACUGAAGGAAUACCUGAGAUGCAGAUGAAGUCAUGACAACAAUUGUGACAUCACAGAAGAAAAAUCUCUCCAGGUUACAAGAGAUUUUUCAGGCAAGGCCUAAUGAUGAUAUCACUGAGAACUGCCAUGGCCUACCUGCUGAACAGCUUUCCUUACAUUGACCAUAUUUGAGGGUGUCCUUUCCUGGAACCACUAGAAGCAGGGAAGUCCAGAUGCUUCUGACAGGCUCCGAGCUCCGAGCUCCUGAUCCCAUGUGUGGAAGGCUCAGAUCAAUUCUAUCUCUUCAAGACAGGAGGGUAGCAUUAUUGUCCUCUGCAAGACUCAACGGAGCAUCCGACUAACACACGUGCACAGACAUACGGCCAAAUAUUGAAUGGAGCUCAGUGAGUCUCAAUGAAAGGCUGAGGGAAGGGCAGACAGAGACAGAGGAGCACAAUGAUCUUCAGCUUACUUUUGGUCACAAUGUUUAUCACGACAUUGGAAGCCUAAUCACAACACCUGGAAAGAGUGUCUCAGUGAGUGACUGAAUACAUUGGGUUGGCAACUCUCCUACACUUUUCCCAGAAAAGCAGAGUAGAGACAAGCUGGCCAACUGGUAGACCUUCAUCCUAAGCCAGGCUCCUGCAGAGAAGAACCUUUGACUCUACUGUAAUCCUUCAACUGGAAGUGUUCACUGGAAACUGGCAAGAACUGCUUUAAAAAUAAAAGAUAGUUAAGGGAUUGGAGAGAUUCUUCAGUGGUUAAUGGCACUAGUUGCUUUUCCAGCAGACCCAAGAUCAAUUCCAAGCAUCCACAUGGCAGUUCUCAACCAUAUUUAACUCCAGUUCCAGGGGACUCAAUGACUUCUUCUGGCCUCAGCAGGCUCCAGGUAUGUUCAUGGUGUAAAACAUACAUGCAGAUGAAACACCCAUACACAUAAAAUAAGAAUAAAUUUUAAGAGAGAGAGAGAGAGAGAGAGAGAGAGAGAGAGAGAGAGAGAGAGAGGUGAAGGCCAGGAAUAUAUACCAGUGGGUAAAGUGCUUGCCUUGCAAGCAGGAAGACAUGAGUUUGAUCACCAGAACAAAUGUAAAAAUCCAAGCAUAUGCUGAGGGAAUAGCUCAGUUGGUGACAUUCUUGCCACACAACCAUGACGGCCUGACUUUCGUAAUCAGAAUCCACAUGAAAAGCUUGCCACAGUGGCAGGUACUUGUAAUCCCAGCUCUGGAGAGGCAGAGAUGGGCAGGUCUCUGAGACUCUCACUGGUCAGCCAGCAUAACCCUUGAUGAGAUCCAGGCCAAUGAAAGACCUUUUCUCAGAAAACAGUAAGAUAAUGACUAAGAAAUGGCACCCAAACAUGUUCAAUGGCCUCCACAUACUACAUAUAUACACAUACACACAUGAACAUAUGCAUGCAAACCUAUGCAAACACAUAUACGUAUACAAAAGAUAGGUGAAUAGAUGGAUAUCCAUGGUGGAUAGACAGACAAGCAGACAAACAAAGAAGACCCAAAGGACAGAGAUUUAGCUUCAAAAGGCCCAGACAUCUCAAUCGCAGCCCAAGUUCAACCUGUGAGAUGGUAAGAUAUCUUUAAGGUCUUCUUCCCCAACUUCCUGGCAAAGUGGCCAAUGUGGUUAACAUGAGCCAAACAUUAACAGUGUGUUUCUAAGGCUGCCCAUCACAAAUAUAAUUGGCCCUAAGACAUGCCAUAGCCUAAACAUACCAUUCUCCAAGAAGCUUCAGAAAGUGCAGGUGAGAAGGCAGAGGAAUAUAGCUGGGCAUGGAUAUCUCACUCAAUAAAUAUACUAGACCCAAUGUCAGGUAUAAUUACGGUGUGGCAGCUGCCUAUGCUAUGGGCUUCCCACUGCGUCUGCCCAAAGCAGCUGUCUACAAUGAUCUCUGCAAGCAAAGUGCCAAGCAAGAAGAGAAAUGGCUUCUGCUCCAUGUCAAAGGCAGCAGACACAGGGGAACAUGUGAUGAAUUCAUGUCACACAGGUGUACCCCUGGGGUUCCUUCCCCCCCCCAUUUGUUAUGUUACCAUUGCUUUUGGUAAUAAAUAAAUACAUGUGUGUCUGUCCCUGCCUAAAUCUGAAACAAUAAAUGUGGUUAUAAAAAUCAC
Rattus norvegicus (Norway rat) is the source of this 2274-nucleotide non-coding RNA. The record is from RefSeq and is a predicted model, not a curated record. NCBI's taxonomy places the organism in Eukaryota, Metazoa, Chordata, Mammalia, Rodentia, Muridae.